This is a long non-coding RNA of Poecilia latipinna (sailfin molly), 274 nucleotides long. RefSeq lists it as uncharacterized. The record is from RefSeq and is a predicted model, not a curated record. Lineage: Eukaryota; Metazoa; Chordata; Actinopteri; Cyprinodontiformes; Poeciliidae. The transcript is spliced from 4 exons.
CCUCCAGUUCUGUCUACCAGUCUGACCUUCGAUGUGUCAUUGUGAGGGUUGGAAACAUUCCCUCCAUAGCAACUCCAAGUCCUCCUCCUGAAACAACUCGUCUUACGGUUCUGAAGCUGAAGAUCUCGACUACGCUGUCACUGAAAGACAACAAGGAUGAAAUCGAGAAAGCGAUUAAAGAUGAACUGAUCAGACGAGGGCUGCCUGCAGACAUAAAGGUCCGCCUGCUGAGCGACGGUUCAGUGCAGGUUAACGAAAAGGCUGCCCCCUAGUG